Molecule: transfer RNA, 66 nt
Filed under: Dolichosciara megumiae
Lineage: Eukaryota; Metazoa; Arthropoda; Insecta; Diptera; Sciaridae
Description: tRNA-Asn
Source: RNAcentral
UUAAUUAAAACCAAAUUAGAGGUAUAUUACUGUUAAUAAUAAAAGUGAAUUUUUAUUCUAAUUAAU